UACGUAGGGAGCAAGCGUUGUCCGGAAUCAUUGGGCGUAAAGAGCGCGUAGGCGGUCCGGUAAGUCGGUUGUGAAAACUGGGGGCUCAACCCUCAGAGGCCGACCGAUACUGUCGGGCUAGAGUCCGGAAGAGGCGAGUGGAAUUCCUGGUGUAGCGGUGAAAUGCGCAGAUAUCAGGAGGAACACCAAUGGCGAAGGCAGCUCGCUGGGACGGUACUGACGCUGAGGCGCGAAAGCCAGGGGAGCAAACGGG
RNAcentral lists this ribosomal RNA (253 nucleotides) under uncultured bacterium. Its description in RNAcentral is "partial 16S ribosomal RNA". It matches the Rfam family "Bacterial small subunit ribosomal RNA", at positions 524 to 776 of the family's 1533-position model. The record is from RNAcentral.